RNAcentral lists this ribosomal RNA (477 nucleotides) under uncultured bacterium. RNAcentral's name for it is "bacterial SSU rRNA". It matches the Rfam family "Bacterial small subunit ribosomal RNA", at positions 30 to 530 of the family's 1533-position model. The record is from RNAcentral.
AUUGAACGCUGGCGGCAUGCCUAACACAUGCAAGUCGAACGGAGAUAGGGGCAACCUUAUUUCAGUGGCGGACGGGUGAGGAAUGCGUCGGAAUCUGCCCUAUGGUGGGGGAUAACACAGGGAAACUUGUGCUAAUACCGCAUAAUGUCGAGAGACCAAAGCAGGGGACCGCAAGGCCUUGCGCGAUAGGAUGAGCCGACGCCCGAUUAGCCUGUUGGUAGGGUAAUGGCCUACCAAGGCGACGAUCGGUAGCUGGUCUGAGAGGAUGAUCAGCCACACUGGGACUGAGACACGGCCCAGACUCCUACGGGAGGCAGCAGUGGGGAAUAUUGGACAAUGGGCGCAAGCCUGAUCCAGCAAUGCCGCGUGUGUGAAGAAGGCCCUAGGGUUGUAAAGCUCUUUCGUCAGGGACGAUAAUGACGGUACUCGAAGAAGAAGCCCGGCUAACUUCGUGCCAGCAGCCGCGGUAAAGUCUAG